RNAcentral lists this small nuclear RNA (18 nucleotides) under Arabidopsis thaliana (thale cress). RNAcentral describes it as "snRNA_03289". The record is from RNAcentral. Lineage: Eukaryota; Viridiplantae; Streptophyta; Magnoliopsida; Brassicales; Brassicaceae.
UUGGCGGGAUCCCUCGCG